UUCAUGCACAUACACCGACCACAGAUUGCAUGUACACUCUUUCCCUACAAGACUCUCUGCAUUUCAUGCCUCUAAACUUCAGUAGAAACUCAGUCAUACUGGACCAUGGGGUGGUCACUCCAGGGAGGCAGGUUGGAGAGUUUCUCCUCAGUGGCUGUUUCUAUGGGCCAGCCCCAGGCCUUAAAGAACCCAGCCAGGUUC
Sebastes umbrosus (honeycomb rockfish) is the source of this 201-nucleotide long non-coding RNA. RefSeq lists it as uncharacterized. The record is from RefSeq and is a predicted model, not a curated record. The transcript has 3 exons. Lineage: Eukaryota; Metazoa; Chordata; Actinopteri; Perciformes; Sebastidae.